Lyophyllum atratum is the source of this 113-nucleotide non-coding RNA. The record is from the annotation of a GenBank genome assembly. Lineage: Eukaryota; Fungi; Basidiomycota; Agaricomycetes; Agaricales; Lyophyllaceae.
GCCCCGCUGGUGUAAUGGGAGCACACCCUGCCGCUAUGAGACUUGAUGGUCAGCUUACUUACCACGUAUGCCACCUCAUUGGGGCGGAGCUCGUUCGACUCGAGCGCGGGGCA